Ruditapes philippinarum (Manila clam) is the source of this 631-nucleotide long non-coding RNA. RefSeq lists it as uncharacterized. Lineage: Eukaryota; Metazoa; Mollusca; Bivalvia; Venerida; Veneridae. The record is from RefSeq and is a predicted model, not a curated record. The transcript has 4 exons.
GCUCAGUAGACUAUGUUUGUAGGAAAGUGGUUUUCGCUACAAAUACUAAUCGUUUUAUUCUAACUGGCAUUUAGAUAGUCAGAGAGAAAGGAAAAGAAUUUUAUCUUAUUCUAGAGCGAAGUUUGUGCCAAAUAGUUUGCUACGUCUGAGGAAAUAUUUUUGAUAUUUACUGCUUUAGCUUACAUAGCACCAGUAACGAGCGAUCAAUUGUGUGUAUUCCUGGAAAGAUCAACUGACAGAUUGCUACGGUAUUCUUGUAUACUUGGUCUUUCAAUUUGCGAGGAAACCAAACCUAGACGAAGCUAAUUAUUUCUUGAUUCGGAACGUGUCGGAUAUUAUUAAGUGAAAACAUUAAAAUACGUUAUAUUAGCUACAGGAGUUUAUACUGUUGACAGGACAUGUGAUAAACAUGUAUUAUAUGUCAUUGUUUAUCAGAACGCGAGCAAGAAGAUAUAUCUAAUACAAAACGUGGAUUUUAUUCAAUAUCAUACAUGAUACAGUGAUUCAUGGACAUAGAAAGUCAAGAACAUGUGAUGUUUAAAGCCUAUAUAUAAUAUGUAUAAGUUUGGUCCUUCAGAAUAAAGAACAUUUUAACUUGAUGCUGAAAAUACUGACAGAUAAAUAAAUCAUG